CCCUUAGAUGUCCUGGGCCGCACGCGCGCUACACUGAGUGUCUGAGAUACGAGUCUGCCUGGUCCGGCAAGGUCUAGGUAAUCGCUAAAAGACACAUCAUGCUUGGGAUAGAUUAUUGCAAAUAUUAAUCUUGAACGAGGAAUUCCUAGUAAGCGCAAGUAAACAGCUUGCGUUGAUUACGUCCCUGCCCUUUGUACACACCGCCCGUCGCUACUACUGAUUGGAUGUUUAAGCGAGGUUCUCGAACUGCUAGCGACUUAGCUUCGGUGAGGUCGCAGUGUGGGAAGUGAACCUAGCUUUGGUGUCUAGAGGAAGUAAAAGUCGUAACA
Molecule: ribosomal RNA, 329 nt
Filed under: uncultured eukaryote
Lineage: Eukaryota
Description: partial 18S ribosomal RNA
Rfam family: Eukaryotic small subunit ribosomal RNA
Source: RNAcentral